Molecule: ribosomal RNA, 507 nt
Filed under: uncultured bacterium
Lineage: Bacteria
Description: partial 16S ribosomal RNA
Rfam family: Bacterial small subunit ribosomal RNA
Source: RNAcentral
GACGAACGCUGGCGGCGUGCCUAAUACAUGCAAGUCGAACGCAUUUUCUUUCACCGUAGCUUGCUACACCGAAAGAAAAUGAGUGGCGAACGGGUGAGUAACACGUUGGUAACCUGCCCAUCAGCGGGGGAUAACACUUGGAAACAGGUGCUAAUACCGCAUAAUUCCAUUUACCGCAUGGUAGAUGGAUGAAAGGCGCUUUUGCGUCACUGAUGGAUGGACCCGCGGUGCAUUAGCUAGUUGGUGGGGUAACGGCCUACCAAGGCUGCGAUGCAUAGCCGACCUGAGAGGGUGAUCGGCCACACUGGGACUGAGACACGGCCCAGACUCCUACGGGAGGCAGCAGUAGGGAAUCUUCGGCAAUGGACGCAAGUCUGACCGAGCAACGCCGCGUGAGUGAAGAAGGUUUUCGGAUCGUAAAACUCUGUUGUUAGAGAAGAACAAGGAUGAGAGUGGAAAGUUCAUCCCUUGACGGUAUCUAACCAGAAAGCCACGGCUAACUACGUG